AAAAAAUUACGUAGAGAGUGGUUUUUUACUCAAUUUUAUUACAAUUAGCUAUACGCGAUGCGUCAGAUCUAUUGGUAUUACAUAUAAUUCAAUUACUCUUUAUCUGUAUAUUGACUAUUUUGGUUGUUGUAUAGUGUGGCUUCAUCGACACCUAUAACACUUGUUUUAGGCUCGUUGUUGCAUAGUGUAAUCCGUUAUAUAUACUAAUAUGUAUUGUAGUGAAGCGUUAGUGAUAUUACACAUGUGUGGUGGUCGGUUAUCAAUUAAACAAUUGUGUAUAUUGGUUGCAAUGCAAUUACAUGUAUGCUUAUAUUGUAUAAAUGAAUAACAACUAAUGCUAGUAUUUGACGAGAUACCUAACUUUCCGACCCGUCUUGAAACACGGACCAAGGAGGCAGAAUCUAGAGCAAGUUGGAGGGUGUAAAACCCGACGGCGUAGUGAAAGCAAAAGAUGAGAUCUAUUAGACUAUGAAAGUAGUUGGAUAGCGCAUCAUCGGCCGGUCUUUAUUAAUCAUAUAUUGAUCGAGUUGGAGCUUUAGAUGCUGAACCCGAAAGAUGGUGAACUAUACGUGAGCAGGGUGAAGCCAGAGGAAACUCUGGUGGAGGCUUGAAGCGAUUCUGACGUGCAAAUCGAUCGUUAGACUUGCGUAUAGGGGCGAUAGACUAAUCGAACCAUCUAGUAGCUGGUUCCCUUCGAAAUAUCCCUCAGGAUCGCUGAGACAUGUGUUGUAAAACAGUUUCAUCGGGUAGAGCGAAUGAUUAGAGGAAUCGGGGAUAUAUUACUCUCGACCUAUUCUCAAACUACCAACCGGUGAGUAUACACUUGUUUGUAACUUGAUUGAAAUGGUGUGAUUGAAUGUUUGUGUCUCAAGUGGGCCAUUUUUGGUAAGCAGAACUGGCGAUGCGGGAUGAACCGAGAGUUGAGCUAAGGUGCCUAAGAACACGUUGAUAGAUACCACAAAAGGAGUCGGUCGAUAAAGACAGCAGGGCGGUGGCCCUGAAAGUAGGAAUCCGCUAAGGAAUGUCUAACAACUCACCUGCCGAAUCGACCGGCCCUGAAAAUGGAUGGCGCUUAAUCGUGUGACCGAUGCUCAACCUUUAUGACAAGAAAUGUUUUAUAAAGGGUAGAAGGGCGCAACGGUAGCAAUAAAGUAUAAAGUGUAAACUUGUAUGGAGCUGCCGUUGGUGUAGAUCUUGGUGGUAGUAGCAAUGAUAAAAGUGAGUAAAAACCUUUUAGGCCGAAGUGGAGAAGGGUUUCACGUGAACAGCAGUUGGACGUGAGUUAGUCGGUCCUAAGCGGUUGCCUAAGGGCUAUUUCAAUGCUGACUUGUUUGUAGUUGUAUCGUAAAAAAGUAUGUCUACAGUAAAAAUGGGUCAGAAUCCGCGAAAGGGAAUCAGGUUAAUAUUCCUGAACCGGGCGUUGGAGACGUAGUAAUUACCUCUUUUGAGUUGUCUUAAUUGAUGGCAAAAUAGUAGUGUAGUUGUUGCUUAGCGGUAACGCAAACAAUCUCGGAGACGUUGAUGUCUAUGGUGGAGAGAAUUAUCUUUUCUGUAUAACAGGCCAAACAAGUACCUUGGAAUCGAGUCAUUCGGAGAUGAGGUAAAAAGCCUGGAAGAACAUUACAACUUUUGCAAUGUCCGCAUUAUAGGUAUCAACCCUUGAAAAUCCGAGGGAGUGGUUGAAUUUCACGUCCGUCCGUACCGAAUCCGCAUCAGGUCUCCAAGGUGUGCAGCCUCUGGCACUGGAACAAUGUAGGUAAGGGAAGUCGGCAAAAUGGAUCCGUAACUUUGGGAAAAGGAUUGGCUCUAAGGACCGGGCCAAUCGAGCUAGUAUUGCCUAGGUUAGUGGGGGUUGAACGGGAUUUGUUUGUAUUGCUUUGUGUUUUGCGGAGUAUAUAUGGAUAAAUUUGGUGAAGCAAACGCUGGCCCUGGAAUAUCUGUGUGAAUUUUUCAAUUGGUUGAUUGGCUAGUUGUGUAUGCAGUUGCUUAAUUGUGGGUGUUAUAUGUGGUUAGUGUGUAUCAGUCAAUAAAAUUCUUUACGAAUGGCAAGCAUCGGUCUGCUUAGAACUGUUACUAACAUGGGGAAUCCGACUGUUUAAUUAAAACAAAGCAUUGCGAUGGCCUUAAGGGGUGUUGACGCAAUGUGAUUUCUGCCCAGUGCUCUGAAUGUCAAAGUGCGGAAACGCAACCAAGCACGGGUAAACGGCGGGAGUAACUAUGACUCUUGUAAGGUAGCCAAAUGCCUCGUCAUCUAAUUAGUGACGCGCAUGAAUGGAUCAACGAGAUUCCCACUGUCCCUACCUACCAUCCAGCGAAACCACAGUCAAGGGAACGGGCUUGACUGAGACAGCGGGGAAAGAAGACCCUGUUGAGCUUGACUCUAGUUUGAUUUUGUGAGAAGACAUGAGGGGUGUAGAAUAAGUGGGAGAUUAGUGUAAAUUAAUCGACGGUGAAAUACCACUACCUUCAUUGUUUUCACACUAAGUCGGUAACACGGGAAAUAUCCAUUAUUACUGAAAAGGUAUGAUGGGUGGAUUUGUAGUUAUAAGGCAGACAGAUCUGCUGACCCAUCGCCGAUGACAUGAUCAGAUGGGGAGUUUGACUGGGGCGG
RNAcentral lists this ribosomal RNA (2611 nucleotides) under Kudoa hypoepicardialis. Its description in RNAcentral is "partial large subunit ribosomal RNA". It matches the Rfam family "Eukaryotic large subunit ribosomal RNA", at positions 433 to 2633 of the family's 3401-position model. The record is from RNAcentral. Lineage: Eukaryota; Metazoa; Cnidaria; Myxozoa; Multivalvulida; Kudoidae.